CGGGGCGGGUGAGUAAUGUCUGGGAAACUGCCUGAUGGAGGGGGAUAACUACUGGAAACGGUAGCUAAUACCGCAUAACGUCGCAAGACCAAAGAGGGGGACCUUCGGGCCUCUUGCCAUCGGAUGUGCCCAGAUGGGAUUAGCUAGUAGGUGGGGUAACGGCUCACCUAGGCGACGAUCCCUAGCUGGUCUGAGAGGAUGACCAGCCACACUGGAACUGAGACACGGUCCAG
Molecule: ribosomal RNA, 233 nt
Filed under: uncultured bacterium
Lineage: Bacteria
Description: partial 16S ribosomal RNA
Rfam family: Bacterial small subunit ribosomal RNA
Source: RNAcentral